Molecule: transfer RNA, 97 nt
Filed under: Paramuricea clavata
Lineage: Eukaryota; Metazoa; Cnidaria; Anthozoa; Malacalcyonacea; Plexauridae
Rfam family: tRNA
About the family: Transfer RNA (tRNA) molecules are approximately 80 nucleotides in length. Their secondary structure includes four short double-helical elements and three loops (D, anti-codon, and T loops).
Source: Rfam by way of RNAcentral
GUCAGGUUGGCCGAGCGGUCGAUGGCGCCAGACUUAAGAGAUUGACGAGUCUUCUGGUCCACAUUUGUGGGCGUGGGUUCGAAUCCCACACCUGACA